This 547-nucleotide ribosomal RNA is filed under the name uncultured bacterium. RNAcentral describes it as "bacterial SSU rRNA". It matches the Rfam family "Bacterial small subunit ribosomal RNA", at positions 355 to 896 of the family's 1533-position model. The record is from RNAcentral.
UGGGGAAUAUUGCGCAAUGGGGGGAACCCUGACGCAGCCAUGCCGCGUGAAUGAAGAAGGCCUUUGGGUUGUAAAGUUCUUUCGGUAUUGAGGAAGGUUGAUGUGUUAAUAGUACAUCAAAUUGACGUUAAAUACAGAAGAAGCACCGGCUAACUCCGUGCCAGCAGCCGCGGUAAUACGGAGGGUGCGAGCGUUAAUCGGAAUAACUGGGCGUAAAGGGCACGCAGGCGGUUAUUUAAGUGAGGUGUGAAAGCCCCGGGCUUGACCUGGGAAUUGCAUUUCAGACUGGGUAACUAGAGUACUUUAGGGAGGGGUAGAAUUCCACGUGUAGCGGUGAAAUGCGUAGAGAUGUGGAGGAAUACCGAAGGCGAAGGCAGCCCCUUGGGAAUGUACUGACGCUCAUGUGCGAAAGCGUGGGGAGCAAACAGGAUUAGAUACCCUGGUAGUCCACGCUGUAAACGCUGUCGAUUUGGGGGUUGGGGUUUAACUCUGGCGCCCGUAGCUAACGUGAUAAAUCGACCGCCUGGGGAGUACGGCCGCAAGGUUA